AACGAACGCUGGCGGCAGGCCUAACAUAUGCAAGUCGAGCGCCCCGCAAGGGGAGCGGCGGACGGGUGAGUAACGCGUGGGAACGUACCCUUUGCUACGGAAUAGCCUCGGGAAACUGGGAGUAAUACCGUAUGUGUCCUUCGGGAGAAAGAUUUAUCGGCAAGGGAUCGGCCCGCGUUGGAUUAGGUAGUUGGUGGGGUAAUGGCCUACCAAGCCGACGAUCCAUAGCUGGUUUGAGAGGAUGAUCAGCCACACUGGGACUGAGACACGGCCCAGACUCCUACGGGAGGCAGCAGUGGGGAAUCUUAGACAAUGGGCGCAAGCCUGAUCUAGCCAUGCCGCGUGAGCGAUGAAGGCCUUAGGGUUGUAAAGCUCUUUCAGGGGGGAAGAUAAUGACUGUACCCCCAGAAGAAGCCCCGGCUAACUCCGUG
This 431-nucleotide ribosomal RNA is filed under the name uncultured bacterium. Its description in RNAcentral is "partial 16S ribosomal RNA". It matches the Rfam family "Bacterial small subunit ribosomal RNA", at positions 29 to 507 of the family's 1533-position model. The record is from RNAcentral.